Molecule: long non-coding RNA, 701 nt
Filed under: Homo sapiens (human)
Lineage: Eukaryota; Metazoa; Chordata; Mammalia; Primates; Hominidae
Description: non-protein coding lnc-C1QTNF9-1:3
Source: RNAcentral
CCCGGGACAGUUUCCAGUCGGCUUCUCCGUGACCUUCCUCCCCCUUCCAGCUCGGAGCGGGAUGCUGGGAUCCCUCCAAGGACCCUCUGAGGACGUAGGAGGGAUGCUGAGACAGGGCCAGCUUCAAACCUUGUCAAGCUCUGACAAGGGAAGAUGAAGCCUAGUUCCAGCUAGGGGUGACCUGUCUAUCUGCAUUUUUUGAGCUGCAGAGUGAUGGGAGUCAUAUUCGCUGCCUGUGCAGCACCACAGGCCUGAUGAAAAUGAAAUGGCAACACCGUGCAGAUGGCAAAGCGUAGGCCUCACAAACAUCCUGGCCGUGAAGGAGCUUGUCUUCAAGAGUAGCUGGUGCAGAAACUCGCUCGGACUGACCUGGAAGAAGACCCUGAGGAGAACCCGGGCACACAGCAGCCAUUCCAGUCCUCAGCUUCAAGGGGGCUCACGAAGGUUGUGGAUCCUUGCCCAGCCUGCAGUGGGGACCUGGUGUGGCAUUGAGUGGCUGUGAGUGCUCAGUGUCCCCCAUCUCAUGCUAAGCACAGCGAAGUAGGGGGAGAUUGCGUAGUGUGCUGAUGGAGCAGUUGCCUCCACCUGGCUGCGUGUCCCUCCGUCAUGUGACAGAAAAGAAGAAGGCAAUGGUGUUUUUCUGUAGCAAGUCACUAUUUAUGGAAGAGGAGACCCUUUAUCUGCAUCGCAAUUCUGAAGAU